ACGAACGCUGGCGGCGCGCCUAGCACAUGCAAGUCGAACGGAGCUGAGAGAAGCUUGCUUUUCUUAGCUUAGUGGCGAACGGGUGAGUAACGCGUGAGUAACCUGCCCUGGAGUGGGGGACAACAGUUGGAAACGACUGCUAAUACCGCAUAAGCCCACGAUCCGGCAUCGGAUUGAGGGAAAAGGAUUUAUUCGCUUCAGGAUGGACUCGCGUCCAAUUAGCUAGUUGGUGAGGUAACGGCCCACCAAGGCGACGAUUGGUAGCCGGACUGAGAGGUUGAACGGCCACAUUGGGACUGAGACACGGCCCAGACUCCUACGGGAGGCAGCAGUGGGGGAUAUUGCACAAUGGGGGAAACCCUGAUGCAGCGACGCCGCGUGGAGGAAGAAGGUUUUCGGAUUGUAAACUCCUGUCGUUAGGGACGAUAAUGACGGUACCUAACAAGAAAGCACCGGCUAACUACGUG
This 467-nucleotide ribosomal RNA is filed under the name uncultured bacterium. Its description in RNAcentral is "partial 16S ribosomal RNA". It matches the Rfam family "Bacterial small subunit ribosomal RNA", at positions 29 to 507 of the family's 1533-position model. The record is from RNAcentral.